CACACACACACACACACACACACACACACACACACACACACACACAUACAGACCAUCUCGUAUGGAAGGGUUAUUUGAUGUCAGUUGGUGUGGACCUGUUGGGGGGGUUCAGAGGGGACAGACAGAUGACAGCAGAUGCUCAGAGGAGGCCUCAGCAGCUCUGAAAUGGCGGAGAGGGGAACAAGGCUGAGCUGGGAGGGAAUCAAAGCCCGGAGCGGAGCCUGAGCUCAGGAUGGAUCUGGAGUCUGAUCGCCUUUUCAAUUAGACUGUUUCCAGACAAACUGAAGUCUGACAUGUUCCUCACAUGUUCCUCACAUGUUCCUCACAUGUUCCUCACACGUUCUGCAGGUUCUCUAUGUGAGAACUAAUGUCUGAGUCAGUGUCUCUGGACAUGUUCUGGAUCUUCUCCUGCAGCCUCCUGGUAAAAUGUGUGUAACAUGUCAGAGUGAGUCCAUGUGAGGAACCAGCAGGACAAUGUGUGGAAGCUUCCCAGAGAGCGAGUGGAGGAGAGUAGAGGUUGAAGACGUCCACUUGGAAACACGAGGAGAUUCCAGAUCUUCUGGUGAUGAGGGCCGACGCCGGUGUGGAUGAGCUGUAAACAACAACACUGAUCUUUCCACAGCAGAGUUUAUAUGUCAGGUCCCGCCUCCGGCUGCUCUACAGGCUCCGCCCCUCGCCUGGAGGUUGUGAAUGAGUCGGACCUGACAACCUGCUGCUGCUGCUUCACAAACACCAACUACACAAAGUAGCAGCACGAAUCUCUGUCUGUCUUACUGACGUCUCUCAGUGGACGUCUGCUCACCACCUGAAGAUUAACCUUGACAAGACUGAACUAUUUGUCAAGAGACAGAAGAAACUAAACAAAAUGUUGAAGCAGAAGAACGACACGAAGGAAACCCGGAGUGGCCAAUCAGAUCCCUUCUAAACAAAGCGACCUGUGACUCCUCCCCCAGCGAGUCCCUGAGUGAAACAUGAGGUGGAAAACAUCAGUUUAGAUCAAAGAUAAAUCUUCAGGAGACUUCGAGGACGUCCGAGUCUCUUUCACAUGUUCAGUCUGGACAGGACGACCCGGUCUCUCACUGUCAGGACGUUUUUAAUCAUUUACAUUUCCUGUAAAAUACUUGUGAAGAAGUCAGAACUGUUCUUAUCUCCCCCAGGGGCAGAGACAGUCCUCUGUACAUGGACUCACUCAGGGUCCAGCAGCAGCUCAGCUUCUUCCUGCUCAGGAUGAAAAACAAAUAUUUGCCGUCAGUUGGUUUCAGGGCGGAAAUGUGAGGUAUGAGGAAGUGCUGGUGUGGACGAGCUGCAGGAGCCGGCCUGCAGGCCUGAAGCAUGUCGGCUGAGAUCACUCUGCACACUUCCUGUUUCUCUCCCACAGCUUCACGUUGUUUGUUGGAUCCGUGAACGAGGAACUCUGAGCAGCCGUUUGUUCAACAUCCUGUUCACACUCGUUUCUAAUCCAGUUUCUCUUCACAUCUCAAACUUUAGAGUUCUGCUGGUUGGACUGAUCCCUGGUUACUGAAGCUUCAUGUUUCAGCUGUUUAUUUAUAUAUAUAUAUAUAUAAAUAUAUUCCUUCCAUCUACAAAUAUAUAGUGUUUAACACGGUUUAAAGAAUCUUUGCAGAUUUUAUCAUGAAGAGAAACAAACUGCAGCUGCAGCUCGACCUCAGAGACUGAGCUGAUCAAUCUAUCUGACCUCUUCCUCCACACACACACACACACA
Molecule: long non-coding RNA, 1723 nt
Organism: Pleuronectes platessa (European plaice)
Lineage: Eukaryota; Metazoa; Chordata; Actinopteri; Pleuronectiformes; Pleuronectidae
Exons: 5
Source: RefSeq, a predicted model, not a curated record